AUGGACACCCAGCCAUUGCCUGCACCUGUUCCGGUUCCCCGGGUGAGGUCAGCUGUGACCCUGCCGACUCCUGCACCCGUCUCAGUUCCUCGGGUGGGAGCAGCAGAGGUCCAGCUAGCUCCUGCACCUACGCCGGCCCCCAGGGUUAAGGCUGCAAGAGCCCAGUUCGUCCCUGCACCCGUAUCUGUUCCUCGGGUGGGGAUGGCUGGUGUUCGGCCAGGCCCUGCACCCGUUCCUGUUCCCCGGAGGAGAGCAGCCAAGACUCAGACACCUGCUCAGUCACAAGUUCAACUACCUGCUGUUUCACCAUCACUACAACUUGCACUUUUGUCCAUAGCGCAGUUAUUAGCUCAGCAACCUGCUCACUCACUGCCGUCCUCUGCUGAAAGCUCUUGUGUGCUCACUCAGCCAGUUAAGGACUGCGUGGUGCUGACAAAGCUUGGACAGACUGUUUGCACUGCACAGCCCCAGCCGUUGCAUCCUAAGCCGACUGCGUGCCCUGUGCAGCUACAGUUAGCGUCCCCUCAGGCAGAGGUCUCCGCACCUGCUGGCUCUGCAUCUCUUCUCGCUGGCGGUUCAGGAGAACCGCUCCAGCCAUCCCUGGUCUCCGCUAGGGGUUCAGGAGGACCCCUCAGCACCUCCUCGUCUCCGCUGGGGGUUCAGGAGAACCUCUCCAGCCGUCCCUCGUCUCCGCUGGCGGCUCUGGUCAGCCCGGCCAGCACCUCCUCGUCUCCGCUGGGGGUUCAGGAGAACCUCUCCAGCCGCUCCUCGUCUCCGCUGGAGGGUCCAAUUCACCGUCGCCUGGUCCAGCCUCUGCUUCAGCUUCACCGUCGCCUGGUCCAGCUUCUGCUCCGCCUACGCCGUCGCCUGGUCCGGCUCCAUCGUCUGCUUCUGCUCCGCCUACGCCGUCGCCUGGUCCAGCUCCAUCGUCGCCUGUGGCUGCCACGCCACCGUCUGGUCCAGCCUCUGCUUCAGCUCCGUCGUCGCCUGUGGCUGCCACGCCACCGUCCGGUCCUACCUCGUCUGGUCCUGUGCCCACCAAGCCUCGACCAGUACGCCCGACGCUUGAGAGCCACCGCCGCCUUCCACGCGGACGGCCUCCGGACCCGCUCUGCUGCCGCCGCCGCCUUCCACGCGGUCGGCCUCCGGACCCGCUCUGCUGCUGCCGCCGCCGCCUUCCACGCGGCCGCUCUCCGGACCCGCUCUGUAGCCGCCGCCGUCUUCCACGUGGCUGGCCCCCAGACCGCCUUCGCCUGAGUCGCCGCCGUUGCCGUCCGCACGGUCGGCCACCCGAACUGCUUUCUCCUUGGCUCCUGUACUGUUGGGACCGGGGUCAGCCCCCUGAACAAUUUUGGCCCGCCUGUUUUGUUUUGAAUGGUUCCCAGGGCCCCUGUGCUUUUCAUGGACAUUUUGUGUUGGACUCUUUUCUGAGUUCCGCGGAUGGACAUUUUGGUUUUGUUCCGGGCCCUCCGUCCUGGGCCCCCACCGCCCGCCCUGGUUGGGUUUGUGUUUUUUGUUUUUCCUGUUGGGCUGUCUGGAGCCAGCCCUUAAGGGGGGGGUACUGUCAUGGUCCUGGGUCAGUGACCCAGUGUUUUGAGUUUCUUGUGUCUCUGAGUUUUGUAUUGUGGUCUUUGUUCCCUUUGUUCCCCCAGUUUAUUCUUUAGUCUAGUGUCUUAGUUUGGCCUUCUUGUAUUCUCUUUAGUUCUGAGUAUUUAAUAGCUGCCCUCUGUGUCUCUUUGUUGUUGUUCUGUGUUUCUUAGUUGCUCCGUCUCCCCUAGUCUAGUUUGCGUCUGUGCUACUUCCUGUUUUACUUUGAAGGUCCAUGUCUCUUGUGAGUGUAUUCUACUUUGCUCCCUCGUCUCGUCAGUUCUGAUUUCUCCCAGCUGUGCUCCCCUUCUGUGUCUCAUUCCCCUCGUUACGUCCCAGUGUAUUUUAGCCCUGCGUUUCCCUGUGUCAUUGUUGCGUUCUCCCUCAUUCAUGGCCGUGUGUUUCUCCGUGUACCUGUAUAUUGUUUCCCAGUUUAGUUUCAUGUCAGUUUGCUUCGCCGUUUUCCUGUCCAGCAAUAAAGCUGUGUUUUGAGUUUAUUCCUGCCUCCGCGAGCUUGCGUUUGGGUCCACUUCCUGCCUGCCACACAGCCGAAUCAUGACAUAUAGUGUAUGUCAGUAAACUGAGAUCUGAAACUAUCUAUACAAGUCUCUAAUCUUCAAAGAGGCAAAUAGUGGUUUGUACAGAAAAUAGCAACACUUUUCCAUAUGGUGUAUGAUAUCAAAAAGUAAAACACUGGUAUAAUUUCAGGCCUCUGGGUUUAUUUGAAUUUUUUCUUUGCUAUAACCUGCAUUGGUGGUGGUAAAUGAGUUCCUUUGUGGAUGAGGAUGAUCCAAGAAUUUACCACAUAAUGGCUCUUGGUUGGUUCACAAUAUAUCAAUGUGUGCUCGACAUACACUUAUCCAAUUUAAGAUAGUUCAUCGGGGGCAUUGGUCCAGGGAUAGGCUGGCACACAUAUACCCAGGGGUGGACCCAGCCUGUAUAAGGUGUGGGGGUGCUCCUGGUACAUUGUUUCAUAUGUACUGGUCCUGUCCUUCAUUGUCCACCUUUUGGAAAUCUGUUUUCCAUACGAUGUCUGAUGUCCUGCAGCAUCAAAUUGAACCAGAGCCACUCUGUGCUAUGUUUGGUGCGGUCCAGAAUUUGAAUCUGUCCAACUCCAGGCUCAGAACAUUAAACUUUUCAUUACUGCUGGACAGGCGAGCUAUAUUGCUGAAUUGGAAAGACUCUUCUCCCCCCUCACACACAAUGUCUAAAGGAUAUAAUGUCCUGUAUGGAUUUAGAAAAAAUUAGAUAUACAGUUCGUGGGUCUAAAAAUAAAUUUUAUAAACUGUGGUCCCCCUUUCUGGACUUCUUUGAAAGGCCCACAACUACUGUUACCAAGGAGUCCAAGGAACCCCCCCCCUCCUUUAUAUAUUUUUUUUUUCUCUUUCUUUCUUUUAUGAGUCUGUUUGUUGUUGGGGGGUUUUUUGUUUUGGUUUUUUUUUGGGGGGGGGUUCUCUGUGUUUUUUGGUUUAGUUGGGCAGCAGGCUGCCAAUUAUUUGUUGUUUUAAGGGUCAGGGUGGGAACAAGAUUGAGAUUUUGAAAAAUUCUGAAGCACUUUGUGUUAUUGUAUACAUUGCAUUGAAACCUUUGUUUAAUAAAAAGACUUUUGAAAGACAAGUUAUGACACAUAAACCUGAUGUCCUUUAUUAGAAUUUUAUUUUUAUUAUCCAAGUUUUUUUUUUUUUUUUUUUUUUGGUGAUGAACUACAUCGCACUUUAUAUACACAAGGCAUAAGACCACAUUACCUGGAAUGGUAACCAAAUAAAAACUCCUGAUAAAAAAUAAGGUAUGAACCUGAGUGCACAAAAGCCAGGAUACACUCAACAAUAAAAUCUUGCUACAUUAGAAGUUGGCUGAUCA
This is a long non-coding RNA of Oreochromis niloticus (Nile tilapia), 3447 nucleotides long. The record is from Ensembl. NCBI's taxonomy places the organism in Eukaryota, Metazoa, Chordata, Actinopteri, Cichliformes, Cichlidae.